Molecule: ribosomal RNA, 815 nt
Filed under: Ophiocordyceps variabilis
Lineage: Eukaryota; Fungi; Ascomycota; Sordariomycetes; Hypocreales; Ophiocordycipitaceae
Description: SSU rRNA
Rfam family: Eukaryotic small subunit ribosomal RNA
Source: RNAcentral
AUGCCCUCUGGGCUCUCUGGUGAUUCAUGAUAACUGCGCGAAUCGCACGGCCUUGCGCCGGCGAUGGUUCAUUCAAAUUUCUUCCCUAUCAACUUUCGAUGUUUGGGUAGUGGCCAAACAUGGUUGCAACGGGUAACGGAGGGUUAGGGCUCGACCCCGGAGAAGGAGCCUGAGAAACGGCUACUACAUCCAAGGAAGGCAGCAGGCGCGCAAAUUACCCAAUCCCGACGCGGGGAGGUAGUGACAAUAAAUACUGAUACAGGGCUCUUUUGGGUCUUGUAAUUGGAAUGAGUACAAUUUAAAUCCCUUAACGAGGAACAAUUGGAGGGCAAGUCUGGUGCCAGCAGCCGCGGUAAUUCCAGCUCCAAUAGCGUAUAUUAAAGUUGUUGUGGUUAAAAAGCUCGUAGUUGAACCUUGGGCCUGGCUGGCCGGUCCGCCUCACCGCGUGCACUGGUCCGGCCGGGCCUUUCCCUCUGUGGAACCCCAUGCCCUUCACUGGGCGUGGCGGGGAAGCAGGACUUUUACUUUGAAAAAAUUAGAGUGCUCCAGGCAGGCCUAUGCUCGAAUACAUUAGCAUGGAAUAAUGAAAUAGGACGCGCGGUUCUAUUUUGUUGGUUUCUAGGACCGCCGUAAUGAUUAAUAGGGACAGUCGGGGGCAUCAGUAUUCAAUUGUCAGAGGUGAAAUUCUUGGAUCAAUUGAAGACUAACUACUGCGAAAGCAUUUGCCAAGGAUGUUUUCAUUAAUCAGGAACGAAAGUUAGGGGAUCGAAGACGAUCAGAUACCGUCGUAGUCUUAACCAUAAACUAUGCCGACU